RNAcentral lists this ribosomal RNA (497 nucleotides) under uncultured bacterium. RNAcentral's name for it is "partial 16S ribosomal RNA". It matches the Rfam family "Bacterial small subunit ribosomal RNA", at positions 28 to 507 of the family's 1533-position model. The record is from RNAcentral.
GACGAACGCUGGCGGCGUGCCUAAUACAUGCAAGUAGAACGCUGAAGAGAGGAGCUUGCUCUUCUUGGAUGAGUUGCGAACGGGUGAGUAACGCGUAGGUAACCUGCCUUGUAGCGGGGGAUAACUAUUGGAAACGAUAGCUAAUACCGCAUAACAAUGGAUGACACAUGUCAUUUAUUUGAAAGGGGCAAUUGCUCCACUACAAGAUGGACCUGCGUUGUAUUAGCUAGUAGGUGAGGUAAUGGCUCACCUAGGCGACGAUACAUAGCCGACCUGAGAGGGUGAUCGGCCACACUGGGACUGAGACACGGCCCAGACUCCUACGGGAGGCAGCAGUAGGGAAUCUUCGGCAAUGGGGGCGACCCUGACCGAGCAACGCCGCGUGAGUGAAGAAGGUUUUCGGAUCGUAAAGCUCUGUUGUAAGUCAAGAACGGGUGUGAGAGUGGAAAGUUCACACUGUGACGGUAGCUUACCAGAAAGGGACGGCUAACUACGUG